This 497-nucleotide ribosomal RNA is filed under the name uncultured bacterium. RNAcentral describes it as "partial 16S ribosomal RNA". It matches the Rfam family "Bacterial small subunit ribosomal RNA", at positions 28 to 507 of the family's 1533-position model. The record is from RNAcentral.
GAUGAACGCUGGCGGCGUGCCUAAUACAUGCAAGUCGAGCGAACAGACGAGGAGCUUGCUCCUCUGACGUUAGCGGCGGACGGGUGAGUAACACGUGGAUAACCUACCUAUAAGACUGGGAUAACUUCGGGAAACCGGAGCUAAUACCGGAUAAUAUAUUGAACCGCAUGGUUCAAUAGUGAAAGACGGUUUUGCUGUCACUUAUAGAUGGAUCCGCGCCGCAUUAGCUAGUUGGUAAGGUAACGGCUUACCAAGGCAACGAUGCUUAGCCGACCUGAGAGGGUGAUCGGCCACCCUGGAACUGAGACACGGUCCAGACUCCUACGGGAGGCAGCAGUAGGGAAUCUUCCGCAAUGGGCGAGAGCUUGACGUAGCACCGCCGCGUGAGUCAUGAAGGUCUUCGGCUCGUAAAGCUCUGUUAUUAGGGAAGAACAAAUGUGUAAGUAACUAUGCACGUCUUGACGGUACCUAAUCAGAAAGCCCCGGCUAACUACGUG